Molecule: ribosomal RNA, 253 nt
Filed under: uncultured bacterium
Lineage: Bacteria
Description: partial 16S ribosomal RNA
Rfam family: Bacterial small subunit ribosomal RNA
Source: RNAcentral
UACAGAGGGUGCAAGCGUUGUUCGGAAUUAUUGGGCGUAAAGGGCGCGUAGGCGGUGCGGUAAGUCUUUUGUGAAAUCUCCGGGCUCAACUCGGAGUCUGCAGGAGAAACUGCCGUGCUUGAGUAUGGGAGAGGUGAGUGGAAUUCCUGGUGUAGCGGUGAAAUGCGUAGAUAUCAGGAGGAACACCAAUGGCGAAGGCAGCACUCUGGGACGUGACUGACGCUGAGACGCGAAAGCGUGGGGAGCAAACAGG